CGUGCAGGUGGUUGAUUAAGUCUGAUGUGAAAGCCCACGGCUUAACCGUGGAGGGUCAUUGGAAACUGGUCGACUUGAGUGCAGAAGAGGGAAGUGGAAUUCCAUGUGUAGCGGUGAAAUGCGUAGAGAUAUGGAGGAACACCAGUGGCGAAGGCGGCUUCCUGGUCUGUAACUGACACUGAGGCGCGAAAGCGUGGGAGCAAACA
This 206-nucleotide ribosomal RNA is filed under the name uncultured bacterium. RNAcentral's name for it is "partial 16S ribosomal RNA". It matches the Rfam family "Bacterial small subunit ribosomal RNA", at positions 568 to 774 of the family's 1533-position model. The record is from RNAcentral.